This 460-nucleotide ribosomal RNA is filed under the name uncultured bacterium. RNAcentral's name for it is "partial 16S ribosomal RNA". It matches the Rfam family "Bacterial small subunit ribosomal RNA", at positions 338 to 795 of the family's 1533-position model. The record is from RNAcentral.
CCUACGGGAGGCAGCAGUGAGGAAUAUUGGUCAAUGUACGAGAGUCUGAACCAGCCAAGUAGCGUGAAGGAUGACUGCCCUAUGGGUUGUAAACUUCUUUUAUAAAGGACUAAAACGAGGCACGUGUGCCUUUUUGCAUGUACUUUAUGAAUAAGGAUCGGCUAACUCCGUGCCAGCAAACGCGGUAAUACGGAGGAUCCGAGCGUUAUCCGGAUUUAUUGGGUUUAAAGGGAGCGUAGAUGGGUUGUUAAGUCAGUUGUGAAAGUUUGCGGCUCAAACGUAAAAUUGCAAUUGAUACUGGCAGUCUUGAGUACAGUUGAGGUAGGCGGAAUUCGUGGUGUAGCGGUGAAAUGCUUAGAUAUCACGAAGAACCCCGAUUGCGAAGGCAGCUUACUAAACUGUGACUGACAUUGAUGCUCGAAAGUGUGGGUAUCAAACAGGAUUAGAUACCCCGGUAGUC